Molecule: unclassified non-coding RNA, 437 nt
Filed under: uncultured Tomentella
Lineage: Eukaryota; Fungi; Basidiomycota; Agaricomycetes; Thelephorales; Thelephoraceae
Description: sequence contains ITS2
Rfam family: 5.8S ribosomal RNA (bases 1-155)
Source: RNAcentral
AACUUUUAGCAACGGAUCACUUGGCUCUCGCAUCGAUGAAGAACGCAUCGAAAUGCGAUCAGUAAUGUGAAUUGCAGAAUUCAGUGAAUCAUCGAAUCUUUGAACGCACCUUGCGCCCUUUGGCUAUUCUUAAGGGCAUGCCUGUUUGAGUAUCCUGAACACCUCAACUCUCAUGGCCUGCCAUGAUGAGCUUGGACUUUGGAGGUCUUGCCGGCGUACUGUCGGCUCCUCUCAAACGAAUCAGCUUGCCAGUGUUUGGUGGCAUCACAGGUGUGAUAACUAUCUACGCUUGUGGUUUUCCGCCGGGCAACCUCCAGCGAUGGAGGUUCGCUGGAGCUCACAAACGUCUCUCCUAAGCGAGGACAGCUUUUCGAACGUUUGAUCUCAAAUCAGGUAGGACUACCCGCUGAACUUAAGCAUAUCAAUAAGCGGAGGCU